UAUACAUGCAGUCGAGCGAACAGAUAAGGAGCUUGCUCCUUUGACGUUAGCGGCGGACGGGUGAGUAACACGUGGGUAACCUACCUAUAAGACUGGGAUAACUGCGGGAAACCGGAGCUAAUACCGGAUAACAUUUGGAACCGCAUGGUUCUAAAGUGAAAGAUGGUUUUGCUAUCACUUAUAGAUGGACCCGCGCCGUAUUAGCUAGUUGGUAAGGUAACGGCUUACCAAGGCGACGAUACGUAGCCGACCUGAGAGGGUGAUCGGCCACACUGGAACUGAGACACGGUCCAGACUCCUACGGGAGGCAGCAGUAGGGAAUCUUCCGCAAUGGGCGAAAGCCUGACGGAGCAACGCCGCGUGAGUGAUGAAGGGUUUCGGCUCGUAAAACUCUGUUAUUAGGGAAGAACAAAUGUGUAAGUAACUGUGCACGUCUUGACGGUACCUAAUCAGAAAGCCACGGCUAACUACGUGCCAGCAGCCGCGGUAAU
Molecule: ribosomal RNA, 491 nt
Filed under: uncultured bacterium
Lineage: Bacteria
Description: bacterial SSU rRNA
Rfam family: Bacterial small subunit ribosomal RNA
Source: RNAcentral